This 253-nucleotide ribosomal RNA is filed under the name uncultured bacterium. RNAcentral's name for it is "partial 16S ribosomal RNA". It matches the Rfam family "Bacterial small subunit ribosomal RNA", at positions 524 to 776 of the family's 1533-position model. The record is from RNAcentral.
GACAGAGGUUGCAAACGUUGUUCGGAAUUACUGGGCAUAAAGCGCACGUAGGUGGUUCGCUAAGUCGUGUGUGAAAUGCCCCGGCUCAACCGGGGAAUUGCGCACGAUACUGGCGAGCUUGAGGUCGGAAGGGGUGAGUGGAACUCCUGGUGGAGCGGUGAAAUGCGUAGAUAUCAGGAGGAACACCGGUGGCGAAAGCGGCUCACUGGUCCGAAUCUGACACUGAGGUGCGAAAGCUAGGGUAGCAAACGGG